Molecule: non-coding RNA, 1172 nt
Organism: Xyrichtys novacula (pearly razorfish)
Lineage: Eukaryota; Metazoa; Chordata; Actinopteri; Labriformes; Labridae
Source: the annotation of a GenBank genome assembly
GACUGACAGCUGUCCUUCAUCACAGCAGAAGACACAGAAAUCCUCCUCCUCCUGAUCAGAAACAUGACUGUGAUCUGCGUCCUCAUCUGGACUCUCCUCUGCUGCUGCUUCACAGGUAAAGUCCAGAGAAUCCAACUCCUCUCCUCUAUGAACAUCCGUCCCUCUGAAAUGAAGCCCACAAAACCAUGACGCUGCUUUCUGUGUUUGUCUCUGUAUCCUCAGAGUCCAGAGGACAGGUCACAGUGACUCAGCCUGCAGCAGUGACCUCUGCUCCAGGAGAAGACGCAAGAAUCAGUUGUAGUGUCAGUCAGAAUGUGCAUGGCAAUAGCUAUCUGCACUGGUACCAACAGAAGGAUGGAGAAACUCCUAAACUGCUCAUUAAGUAUACUAAUCAGCUGUUAUCAGGGAUAUCAAGUCGUUUUUCGGGCAGUGGAUCUGGAUCUAGUUUCACUCUGACCAUCAGUGGAGUCCAGACUGAAGAUGCAGCAGUUUACUACUGUCAGAGUCAACACAGCAUCAACAGUCAGUGGGUGUUCACACAGUGAAAAAGCGUCGUACAAAAACCUCCCUCAGUCAGACUGAACUGAAACUGAACUGACGGCUGCAGCUGGAGGUUCACACACACACACACACACACACACACACAAACACACGAAAAGGAAUGAUAAUUUCACUUUUUUAUCAUCAAUGUUAACAUAUUAAUUAAAUAUUUAGUUUAGUCUAGUCAACAUUGUACCAACAUCCCUCACAUUAAACUCAGUUCCCUCUCAUUAAAUCUGCUUUUUUACAGAUGACAGUGUUUGAUAUACCUCAAUAUCCUGAUACCCUGAUCUAAUAACUGAUCAAAGCUCCACUUUUUGAGAGAAUAAAGAAUUUGUUUUUUUUUAGGCCUCAUGGGGACAUACUGUAAUAUUAAUAAACAACAUCAAGUUCUUCUCAGUUUGAACUUGGACCAAAAAUCUACUCCAGAAUAUAUUAUUAUAUUAGUGUCCUAUAGAUUUAAAAACUACCUCUGCUGCAUAAAACCCUUUAAAUUUACAUGUUCAAAAACACAACAAAUUAAAAAAUAAAGCCUUAAAAAAAACGGAGCAGUUUCUUACCAGGAUGAGUUUUUAUAUCUCUGAUAAGAACCGAAUCAUUCUAAAGAAUUAAACUUGAAUCAUGAUCCAGUC